AAACAUGUCGGUCAUCGGUCGAUACUCCGGGCAAAGCAAGGCAUUCCAUCCGAUCCAACCGAGGAAAAACU
RNAcentral lists this small RNA (71 nucleotides) under Sinorhizobium meliloti 2011. RNAcentral describes it as "putative ncRNA". Lineage: Bacteria; Pseudomonadati; Pseudomonadota; Alphaproteobacteria; Hyphomicrobiales; Rhizobiaceae. The record is from RNAcentral.